AAGGAAGCAAGGAAGCGCAGGCUUGAUGGCCUGUUUUCCAGACGGAGCAAACAGUCCGGGGCAGAGAUGGCGGCGGGCGAGCCCUUUCCCCGGCAUUUGGUGCAUUUAACAGCGCAGUCUGAGCCAGGCCUCUGUCCCCUGCCUCCUGGGAGUCCCCUCCUAGCCCUGGUCCUUGGAGUGGCUUCUGGCCAGAGAGAGCUGCUGCCCGAAGCCGGGGCUCUUAUGGCCAGAUGAGAAGUGAGCUUCCUCAAAACACAGUUGGAAACAGGCUGGCUGUCAUCAGCCACGCGGAUGCCAUGAACCCCACAUGACCAGCCCACUGUCUGCUGUGUCUCCUCAGGAGCAGGACAUCGAGACUUUACAUGGCUCUGUUCACGUCACGCUGUGUGGGACUCCCAAGGGAAACCGGCCUGUCAUCCUCACCUACCAUGACAUCGGCAUGAACCACAAAACCUGCUACAACCCCCUCUUCAACUACGAGGACAUGCAGGAGAUCACCCAGCACUUUGCCGUCUGCCACGUGGACGCCCCUGGCCAGCAGGAUGGCGCAGCCU
This 554-nucleotide small RNA is filed under the name Pan troglodytes (chimpanzee). RNAcentral describes it as "retained intron". Lineage: Eukaryota; Metazoa; Chordata; Mammalia; Primates; Hominidae. The record is from RNAcentral.